Molecule: ribosomal RNA, 301 nt
Filed under: uncultured bacterium
Lineage: Bacteria
Description: partial 16S ribosomal RNA
Rfam family: Bacterial small subunit ribosomal RNA
Source: RNAcentral
CAGCAGCCACGGGAAUACGUAGGGCGCAAGCGUUAUCCGGAAUUAUUGGGCGUAAAGAGCUCGUAGGCGGUUUGUCGCGUCUGCCGUGAAAGUCCGGGGCUCAACCCCGGAUCUGCGGUGGGUACGGGCAGACUAGAGUGUUGUAGGGGAGACUGGAAUUCCUGGUGUAGCGGUGAAAUGCGCAGAUAUCAGGAGGAACACCGAUGGCGAAGGCAGGUCUCUGGGCAUUAACUGACGCUGAGGAGCGAAAGCAUGGGGAGCAAACAGGAUUAGAUACCCCCGUAGUCCCUGUCUCUUAUAC